Molecule: ribosomal RNA, 403 nt
Filed under: uncultured bacterium
Lineage: Bacteria
Description: bacterial SSU rRNA
Rfam family: Bacterial small subunit ribosomal RNA
Source: RNAcentral
UGGGGAAUAUUGCGCAAUGGGGGAAACCCUGACGCAGCAACGCCGCGUGAAGGAUGAAGGCUUUCGGGUUGUAAACUUCUUUAGCCAGGGACGAAGAAUGACGGUACCUGGAAAAUAAGCCACGGCUAACUACGUGCCAGCAGCCGCGGUAAUACGUAGGUGGCAAGCGUUGUCCGGAUUUACUGGGUGUAAAGGGCGUGUAGGCGGGUUAUUAAGUCAGAUGUGAAAUUCUUGGGCUCAACCCAAGCGCUGCAUCUGAAGCUGAUGAUCUUGAGUACUGGAGAGGGAAGCGAAAUUCCUAGUGUAGGGGUGAGAUGCGUAGAUAUUAGGAGGAACAGCAGUAGUGAAGGCGGCUUUCUGGACAGUAACUGACGCUGAGGCGCGAAAGCGUGGGGAGCAAACA